AAGAGAAAUAUCGUCUAAAGAAAGGAAACACACUCAUGCGGGUAAAGCCAGGUGCAAAACAAUAUCACUUCCGCCUGUUAACGAUCCGUCUUUCUCCAUGUGCCUGAACGGAUAAAAAACAAGUGGAGCCCCCCAUAAGUACAUGUUUCUAACCCAUCACAACUAGGUGAGCCUUGCCAUGUCCGACCAAACAGAUCAACCGUGUCCGACCUCGUUGUUCGUCUCCGAGGCAAAUGUUUUUUCUAUGGCCUGGACCUCUUCGACAAUGGGUAACGACGAAAUCAUCCGUUCCUACAGCAACGGAACAUCUGUCAUGAAAUACUUGGACGACAAUUGCGCCACGGGAGCAGAGACUGAAAAGAGAAACAAUACGAAAUCCGGUUUCCGUCACAUUCCACACAUUCCUCAUAGUGUUCGUCCAGCGUUCCAGGUAGCGCGGAGAAAUGCACGAGAGAGACGUCGCGUUCAGUCGGUCAACAUUGCCUUUUCCAAACUUCACCAAGUCGUCCCAGCGGAAUUUGGAGAACACGAAGGAAACACGACAGAUAAAACCAAAAUUUGCGAUGAUGCAAGAGCGCGGCGUACCAGUAAGGUCUCAAUUUUGAGACGAGCAAUAGAUUACAUCAAACUACUUGAAGAAGUUUUGCUGAUUCAAAACCAAGCUGCCGUCAUAUCCUAUGUCGCCUAAAGCCAACAAUGGAAUCUAACGAAUUAAAAAGCUUAACUUGCCCAUUUCAGAAAAAUCAAGACGAACAUGUUGAAAGAACGACGCGUGCCCGAAGAUCUUGAAUGGGUUUAGGUUCUGUUCGUUAUCAUACUAUCUUAGACUCAACGGUGGGGCUCAUAGAUGGUCGCUGUGUUAUCAACAAAACCGAACAAUGUUAUCAACACCAUGAAGUUAACUCGCAUUCAGCCUGCGGAUCUUCAACGACAUAGCUCUGUCAGCAAACAAAAAUUCAAGGUUGUACUUAUCGCUCACACACAUACGCACAUCCCGCCCUAGUUUUGUUUUUGAAACUUAUCAGCAACUCUGGUUGCUCUAGAGAUCGCAUAAACGUACAGCGUCUUUUAUUGUGCAAUAAAUUGGUAAUUCUGGUGACUAUAA
Daphnia magna is the source of this 1105-nucleotide RNA transcript. RefSeq lists it as uncharacterized. The record is from RefSeq and is a predicted model, not a curated record. NCBI's taxonomy places the organism in Eukaryota, Metazoa, Arthropoda, Branchiopoda, Diplostraca, Daphniidae. The transcript has 8 exons.